This is a non-coding RNA of Biomphalaria pfeifferi, 2766 nucleotides long. The record is from the annotation of a GenBank genome assembly. NCBI's taxonomy places the organism in Eukaryota, Metazoa, Mollusca, Gastropoda, Planorbidae.
AAAAAAGGGAAAGUUUUAUUACAAUCCUAAGCAAACAUCUAUUUUUCUUUACAUCUAUUUAAUUUAAUAAUGCACUGUUUAAUUAAUGAUGUGGCAAAUUUAAUUUGAACAAUCAAUGCGCAUAUACAUAUAUAUAUAUCCAGAUGAUACAAUUGAAUUUUGGUUCCAAAUAUUGGUAGGCCUACAUAAAAUUUCUAAAAAUUUCUUACGUUUAAAAAGGAAAAAAAUAGAAUUUCAUUUGAAACAAUUUGUAAUAUAUGUAGGAUUACCAAAUUUGUUUGUAAAAUUUUCAGAUUAUAAAGUAAAAAGAAAAGGUCACACCUGUAAUUACUUACAAUAUCUUUUUUUCAUAUGUAUCUAUUUUCAGUUAAUUCCAUUGUAAGUAUUUCACAUUUAUUUUCUAUAGCCCACUUUUUUUUUUUGCUUCUGAGCUGUUUAGUUUGUUUGUUGUUUUUUUGCAUACAGGUCAUAGGAAAAUAACAUGCUGUUUUUCCCAACUGCCCAUGCUGCCAUACAGGGUGUUGGCUACAUAGGUUAAUGGUUGUUGAAAUAAUAGGUGAGGGUAAUAUGGGACAUUCUCGAAAAAAAAAAUUGUUUGACAACACAUGUGAGAAAAGUAUCUGUGAAAGGACUAAGUUUGUGGGAUUUUAGUUAUUUAGAUGGAAUAGUAUGUCCUGUUGUUAGCUGGUAAACCAUUAUAUUAAAAAAAAUAAUUUUCCAUAACCAAGUCUGCCACGUUUCCACAGAAGACUUCUAUCCCAUGGUACUUGCAAAGUCAGAGGUACAUGUGUGUAUAUUAUUUACUUUAGUAACCAUGGCAUAAAACGGUGAUCUACACCAAAAGUAAUAAAUGUACUCCUGUGUUCAGUUAUGAGCUGUGCCUGAAUUAUUGGUCUUUUUUAUGCAUUAAGUCUUUACAUUCCUCAACUCUGACCUUAUAUAUAACUCGUUAUAUUUAGAAAACGCCUGAUUGAAUAUUUAAAAUGUAAAUUUGCAAUUUUUCCUUAGGUUCUCAUGUAAUCUGUAUUAAUGAAAUGAUUUAUAAUUAAAUUGUGAUUCUUAUAUAGCCUGGUAUAAAUAAAUUAUUUAGUCUGUAAAUAUAAAAAUGUUGAACUUCAAAAUUUGUUUCACAGUUUUCUGAAUCUCAAUAGCUACAUAACCUUUUGUUAAUUUAGCUUGCGGCUUAUGCUCAUUUUAUUGCUUUGUAUUAUGUAAUCUAGUAUUGUUACUUCUAAUGCAACCUAAAUGUAUUUUGUGAGUGAAACACAAUCAAAACAUUGAAAAGUAUUGUUGCAUUGAAUUUAAGUUUCUGAUUUUAAUUUUUGAUAAAUAUGUCAAGCUAAAAGUUAUAAUUCCCCAUAAUGCAAUCCUCUAAAGGUUUAUUUUUUUUUGGUAACACAUUUCUGUUUCUCCUUUUAUCAAAUAUUGGAGAUUUUCAUUAUGGCGGGAAGAUAUAUAAUAGCUUGCUUUGUGGUGUAACCAGAGUACAACAUAAAUGAAGUGUUAAGAAUUUUUUUUUAAAAAGUAUAUAAGAAUUUGUGUGAAUAUUUUAGCACUGCAGAAUCAAACUUUCCAAGCUCUUCCGCUUGUAGCUCAAUAAUUUCAAUGUUAAGGACUCAUUAGACUUUCACUCUUGGUAUCUGAAAACUAAGGAUCUGCUAAUUGAUAUUAUUAAAGGAGACUGUCACACAUUAAGAUAUUGUAAAAUUUUAUCUCCCUUCUUUUGUAUUUAGUUGGCAACAUUGAAGUUCAAUUUAGCAUCCUUGACAUUGGUUAAUUUUGUCAUGAAAAUCUCUGACUCAACAAAUAACAAAAACCUGUAUAACUGAAUCUUCAUUUAGGCCUUUGACCAUAUAAUAGAAAUUUGUAGAUUUUAUUUUGUGGUAUUACUGUAACAGUCACAUUUAUUGUCAAAAUCAAUCAUGUGAUGUUCCUGUCAUGAUUGUGAUGCCUGUUACUAAGGUAUAUAAAAAUACAGCAAUAAAAUGAAGUUUUAUCAGCUUAAACAUUGAAACAGUAAAAAUAUUUUUUCUUUAGCUUCAAAUUAAUUUUUAAAAAUGUAUUGAAAGAAUGUAGACCUACUACAUUCAAAUUGGAACCCCUGUUGAAUUGAUAGCCUCAAAUCCUUCUUUUCCCUUUUAUAUACUUAGCUGUUUCCAUUUCCCGGAGAUUCCAGUAAGCUUGUUGGCACUACUGGUUAAUUGUAUUUUUUUAACAUUAUCCCUCCCCUGUCACAUUCGACAUGGUUUUUAACAUCAACAGUGAUGAUAUUGAUCUACUGUACCUUUAAUACUUUAUAACUUUCAUUUUCAAAAGAACUCUAACACAAGUUUGUUUCAAGCCUUAGUCAUUGUAUGAACACUGUUUUCUGUAAAAACUACACUGUAAAUUUAUAUAUUACUAAAUCAAUUUUUACGCAAGAGAUCCCUUGAUGUCCUUCUGUCAGUCUAUUUUUAUCUAGUAUUAUUCUACAUUGUGUUUGGUAUCACUUUAAUUUUUUUUUAUAUAGUCCAUUAUUGUUUUAAGGAUAUGUGCACUUGUUUUUAUUAUCUCCCUUGCUUGUUUGAAAAGACUGUAUUAUUUGAUCUAUAAAUAGAAGCUGCAAAAUACAUCAAACUUCUUAUUGUUCAUUUCUUUUUUUGUUCAUUUCUUUUUUUUUUAUAUGUUAAGUCUUUGUAGAUUCUCAUUAAUCAUUUGCUGGAAGAGAUUAUCAUAUACUUCCUUAAGUCAUUAGUUUUGUGAAAAUAAAGGCUUUAAGAAACUAGA